CCUACGGGAGGCAGCAGUGGGGAAUAUUGGGCAAUGGGCGCAAGCCUGACCCAGCAACGCCGCGUGAAGGAAGAAGGAUUUCCGGGUGUUAACUUCUUUUAAGAGGGAAGAGCAGAAGACGGUACCUCUUGAAUAAGCCACUGCUAACUAGGUGCCAGCAGCCGCGGUAAUACGGAGGUGGCAAGCGUUGUCCGGAUUUACUGGGUGUAAAGGGCGUGUAGCCGGGCUGACAAGUCAGAUGUGAAAUUCCGGGGCUCAACCCCGGACCUGCCUUUGAAACUGUUGGUCUUGAGUAUAGGAGAGGCAGGCGGAAUUCCUGGUGUAGCGGUGAAAUGCGUAGAUAUUAGGAGGAACACCAGUGGCGAAGGCAGCCUGCUGGACGACAACUGACGGUGAGGCGCGAAAGCGUGGGGAGCAAACAGGAUUAGAUACCCUUGUAGUC
Molecule: ribosomal RNA, 442 nt
Filed under: uncultured bacterium
Lineage: Bacteria
Description: partial 16S ribosomal RNA
Rfam family: Bacterial small subunit ribosomal RNA
Source: RNAcentral